RNAcentral lists this long non-coding RNA (291 nucleotides) under Equus caballus (horse). RNAcentral describes it as "lncRNA (ENSECAG00000053378.1)". The record is from RNAcentral. Lineage: Eukaryota; Metazoa; Chordata; Mammalia; Perissodactyla; Equidae.
ACAAUAAAAUGCAGAUUUUAAGUCCUUGCCUUUGGAAUGGAACUUGCCCUUUGUUAGGACACGUUUACAUUUGUAAGGUAAAUCUCUAUCUGUAAAAGGUGCCUCCCUCUCUGUACCAGGAAGAAGAAAGGCGAUGACCUACUCUCCAAAAACUCUUAAUCAAUACCAAAGGCAAGGACUUAAAAUCUGCAUUUUAUUGUGCUAGUCUGGUAACCUCCUGUAACUGACUUCCCUCCCCCUCCCAACGUUGGCAUUCCUUAAGGAUUAAGCAUCUUCCCUUAGGCUAGGAAC